AUGUUUCCUCCAGGCCAAGACUCUACAGAUACUGAGGAAGAUGAGGGAAAGGAGUCUGCAACAGUCCUCUGUGAAGGACUGAUGGAGCUGACCCCUCCAGCUCCAAGCUCUACACACAAGGGAAUUGUCAUGUCCAUCCCACCUGACCAUUUUGGUAACCAUCCACUGCAUCUGGAGAGGCACAAAAGGAUCUUUGGGGCGGAAUUAGUCCAGAGCACAACUUCUCCAGGAUUUGCCGAUUCAACUGCCUUCUAAAACUGCACAGACAUUAGCUAAUUAAUGUGAUCUUCCCAUUCUUAUUGGAAGAGAUCUGCGUAACCCACUUCAAUGGAUUAAAAGUUAAAAUACAAGGUCAUUCUAUCUUCUUU
RNAcentral lists this long non-coding RNA (368 nucleotides) under Chloebia gouldiae (Gouldian finch). RNAcentral describes it as "Erythrura gouldiae (Gouldian finch) lncRNA (ENSEGOG00005005550.1)". The record is from RNAcentral. Lineage: Eukaryota; Metazoa; Chordata; Aves; Passeriformes; Passeridae.